This 165-nucleotide ribosomal RNA is filed under the name uncultured bacterium. RNAcentral describes it as "partial 16S ribosomal RNA". It matches the Rfam family "Bacterial small subunit ribosomal RNA", at positions 1338 to 1500 of the family's 1533-position model. The record is from RNAcentral.
GUAAUCGCGGAUCAGCACGCCGCGGUGAAUACGUUCCCGGGCCUUGUACACACCGCCCGUCACACCAUGAGAGUUGGCAAUACCCAACGUACGUGAUCUAACCCGCAAGGGAGGAAGCGUCCUAAGGUAGGGUCAGCGAUUGGGGUGAAGUCGUAACAAGGUAGC